This 1443-nucleotide ribosomal RNA is filed under the name uncultured Alphaproteobacteria bacterium. RNAcentral's name for it is "partial 16S ribosomal RNA". It matches the Rfam family "Bacterial small subunit ribosomal RNA". The record is from RNAcentral. Lineage: Bacteria; Pseudomonadati; Pseudomonadota; Alphaproteobacteria. RNAcentral also lists the same sequence under 2 other names.
AGAGUUUGAUUCUGGCUCAGAACGAACGCUGGCGGCAGGCCUAACACAUGCAAGUCGAACGAUGUAGCAAUACAUAGUGGCGCACGGGUGAGUAACGCGUGGGAAUGUACCAUUUGGUAGGGAAUAACUCCGGGAAACUGGAGCUAAUACCGCAUACGCCCUUCGGGGGAAAGAUUUAUCGCCAAAUGAUCAGCCCGCGUGAGAUUAGAUAGUUGGUGGGGUAAUGGCCUACCAAGUCUACGAUCUCUAGCUGGUCUUAGAGGAUGACCAGCCACACUGGAACUGAGACACGGUCCAGACUCCUACGGGAGGCAGCAGUGGGGAAUAUUGGGCAAUGGGCGAAAGCCUGACCCAGCCAUGCCGCGUGAGUGAUGAAGGCUCUAGGGUUGUAAAGCUCUUUCGCCGAUGAAGAUAAUGACGGUAGUCGGAGAAGAAGCCCCGGCUAACUUCGUGCCAGCAGCCGCGGUAAUACGGAGGAUCCAAGCGUUAUCCGGAUUUAUUGGGUUUAAAGGGUGCGUAGGCGGCGUUGUAAGUCAGUGGUGAAAGUUUGCAGCUUAACUGUAAAAUUGCCAUUGAUACUGCAGUGCUUGAGUACAGAUGAGGUGGGCGGAAUGUGUCAUGUAGCGGUGAAAUGCAUAGAUAUGACACAGAACACCGAUUGCGAAGGCAGCUCACUAAACUGUAACUGACGCUGAGGCACGAAAGCGUGGGGAUCAAACAGGAUUAGAUACCCUGGUAGUCCACACCCUAAACGAUGAUUACUCGAUGUUAGCGAUAUACAGUUAGCGUCAAAGCGAAAGCGUUAAGUAAUCCACCUGGGGAGUACGCCGGCAACGGUGAAACUCAAAGGAAUUGACGGGGGCCCGCACAAGCGGAGGAGCAUGUGGUUUAAUUCGAAGCAACGCGCAGAACCUUACCACCUUUUGACAUGCCCGGACCACCAGAGAGAUCUGGCUUUCCCUUCGGGGACUGGGACACAGGUGCUGCAUGGCUGUCGUCAGCUCGUGUCGUGAGAUGUUGGGUUAAGUCCCGCAACGAGCGCAACCCACGCCAUUAGUUGCCAUCAUUUAGUUGGGCACUCUAAUGGGACCGCCGGUGGUAAGCCGGAGGAAGGUGUGGAUGACGUCAAGUCCUCAUGGCCCUUACAAGGUGGGCUACACACGUGCUACAAUGGCGACUACAGAGGGUUGCAACCCAGCGAUGGUGAGCUAAUCCCCAAAAGUCGUCUCAGUUCGGAUUGCACUCUGCAACUCGAGUGCAUGAAGUCGGAAUCGCUAGUAAUCGCGGAUCAGCAUGCCGCGGUGAAUACGUUCCCGGGCCUUGUACACACCGCCCGUCACACCAUGGGAGUUGGUUUUACCCGAAGGCGAUGCGCUAACCCGCAAGGGAGGCAGUCGACCACGGUAGGGUCAGCGACUGGGGUGAAGUCGUAACAAGGUAGCC